UACUGCCACCAGAAGGGGAUCCUGCACAGGGACAUACAGCCAAAGAACCUGCUUGUGUGGAUGCUGAACUGAACCUCACGUUUGCAGACUUUGGCUUUAGCAACGAGCUCACCUUUGGCAGCAGGGUAGAUAACUUCUGUGUCAGUGCUUCUUACACUGUCCUGGAACUCUUCUAGGCAACGUACGCAAAAGUACGAUGGCUCUGAGAUGGAUGUUGGCAGCCUGGGAGUCAUUCUCUGUGCAGUGGUCGGUGAUCAUCAGGUUUCUGUCUUACAAUGGACAGAACUAUAGCAGAGCUUCCAAAGUAGGUAUAUAUCACAUUCCCUUUACAUGUCUAUGGAGUAUGAACACCUAAAUAAAUUCCUGCUCCCAAACCCCAGUAAGAGAGGCACUGCAGAGGAAAUCAUGAGGGACCCAUGGAUAAAUGUGGGCUAUGAAGAGGAACUAAAACUACAUCCAGCCACUCCCUGACUCCAGGGAUCCCUGGCACACUGAGUUAAUGCUGUCCUUGGGCUACAUGUAAGGGAAAUUCUGGACUCAUUGAUGGGCUACAGGACACCUCAGCUGGAGGGCCACACCAUCACUGUGAAGUCCUUUCCUUAGCUGAUCCCACCAACUGUUGCCAUCCUUCUCCAUCCUUCCAGGUACAGCCUAGGGUCUCUGCCAGCCCAAAGCAGCGAGCCUGCUCUUCCCACAUUUUCUUUUUCCUCUAAUAGAAAAUCAGUGGCUUGAGGAGGAUCAGGAGUCAGGUUGAAAGGCCAGCAGAACAGUCAAAGUGCCUGCCAGUCUUCUGCCUCACCUUGAGAUGAAGACUGGCCCAGCAAAGCCUCCAGCAUGGCCUUGUGGCCUCCCCCUCCACCCACAGCACCAGCAGCAGUGGUGGAACCCCAGACAGAAUCAACUGUUCCUAGGGUGUGUCCUCCAAAGGAGAACUCCCUUCAUACUGUGCAGCUUUGGUUAGGACCGGCAGAAUUUGCCAGAAUGUAUAACCUCAGCCAUUCCCUCUCGCAACAUUCAGGGCUGGCAGGGGGCCACAGGAGGUUCCUUAUCUUCAUCCACAGACACCUGUGUUUCAGGUUGGCUGGGAAGAUCUGGCAUGUAGCUGGAAUGUGGGGAGUUCAAGCUGUGCUCGCUGCAUUUCACAUGGAGCAGGAAGAUCCUGAGCUCCAUGGAGUCCAAGGACAUGGUGCAGGAGAUCAGCCGGGUGUGGGAUGCAGACAGUUGCAG
Molecule: long non-coding RNA, 1227 nt
Filed under: Homo sapiens (human)
Lineage: Eukaryota; Metazoa; Chordata; Mammalia; Primates; Hominidae
Description: non-protein coding lnc-HUS1B-2:1
Source: RNAcentral